GUGAAGAAUAUAACCCCUUAUGAAUAUAAAAAGGCAAAAUAACAGAAGAUAAGAUAUCAAAUUUCCUGAAUUCUCUUUCAUUUUUAACAUUGUCACCGCAACUGAAAAGUGGUUCAGUGUUUUGAAACAUGAUAUUCCACUAUUAUACAAAACUAAACGUGGCUAUAUUGGCCACAGCAAAUAAUGAAACGAUGAAUUGAAUAACAGCGAGCUAAAAUUAA
Molecule: unclassified non-coding RNA, 221 nt
Filed under: Hevea brasiliensis (rubber tree)
Lineage: Eukaryota; Viridiplantae; Streptophyta; Magnoliopsida; Malpighiales; Euphorbiaceae
Source: RNAcentral